GGCAGGAAAAGGGGUAAUAGUCGCUCAGUAGGAAGAGUAGUUGUCUUGCAAUCAGAAGGUUGUGGGUUUGAUUCCAGCUUCCUCCUGCCA
Non-coding RNA from Ataeniobius toweri, 90 nucleotides. The record is from the annotation of a GenBank genome assembly. NCBI's taxonomy places the organism in Eukaryota, Metazoa, Chordata, Actinopteri, Cyprinodontiformes, Goodeidae.